This 724-nucleotide long non-coding RNA is filed under the name Elaeis guineensis (African oil palm). Its description in RNAcentral is "long non-coding RNA (EGUI_LNC038190)". The record is from RNAcentral. Lineage: Eukaryota; Viridiplantae; Streptophyta; Magnoliopsida; Arecales; Arecaceae.
CAAUUUGAAUUCAAAUCAAAAUCAACCAAUUUCUAUCCUUAAUGGGUGAUAAAAGAAAUAUUAUUUUCUAAUUUUUUCACACACAAACUGAUUUUAUGUGGUGAAAAAAGAUGUGAGAUAAUUUGGGUGGUGCAAGGGAGAGAGUCCUACUCAUUUGGCACUUAGGGUUUAACCAAUUGGAUUUCUUUCAAAUCCAAUCCAAUUAGAUCUAAAUAAAAUAUGAUUAACCUAAUCUAAUUAAGAUCCUAUAAUAUUAAUUAAAUUAAAUUAAAUUAAUAAAUUAAUUGAAUCAUAGAUUCGAUCAAAUCAGGAUCAUUUCUUCCUUACCGAUUAAGUCAUCUAAUAACCUAAUCAGACUUGACCUGCUUGAAUCCAAUUCAAUCAAACUUGAUCCAGACUUUAAUGCUCAAUCAAAUUGAGCUAACUAAUGAUCUAAUCAUUAAUUAAUCUUCCAUUAAUGAUAGAGUCCAAGUCUAGUAAGACUCUUCUCUAGAGUCCUCGUCCAGUGGGACUCUUCACCAGAGUCUCUGUCCACUGGGACUUUUCAAAUUAGCCAUGUGAUCGGAGAGAAACUUCUAAUGUGUGUGACCCCAUAGAUUUGAACCUAAGCUAGUAGCACAGAAAUUAAUUUUUGUAUCAAUUAGAGUAACCAUCUAGCAAUGGUACUCGACGUCUGGAUAGAUCGAAUAUAUGCAAAGCAACACUCAAGAACCUAUUUGGAUAU